Long non-coding RNA from Spinacia oleracea (spinach), 1286 nucleotides. RefSeq lists it as uncharacterized. The record is from RefSeq and is a predicted model, not a curated record. The transcript is spliced from 2 exons. NCBI's taxonomy places the organism in Eukaryota, Viridiplantae, Streptophyta, Magnoliopsida, Caryophyllales, Amaranthaceae.
AAUUAACGGUUUUUUCAUGAAAUGCCCCCGAGGUUUCACGAAAUUCACCAAAUACCCCUGCGCGUUUCAAAAUACAUAAUAUACCCCUAUGUAAACAUAAAGUGCAUCAAAUACCCUUGGAUUUAACGGCCGUUAGUGCUCCGUUAGUAUUUAUUUACGUUUAUACCCUUAUUUACCUAUAUUCUACAUUUUAACUUUAAAAAAAAAAACUCUUUUCUUCUCUCUCCUCUCAUCUCCUCUGUUCUUUCUUACCCAUCUUCAAUCUCACCCCCAAUUCAUCAAUAGCCAUUGAUUCACCUCAAAUUACCCAGAAAUACAAGUCUCUUCUUCCGGUGAUUUGGUAGUGCAGGUGGUAGGGAGUCCGAAGAAUCCACCAUUGCCGCCGACGAAGGUUGAAGGCUGGCGGCGAGAGGAGAUCGAGGAAGGAAGGAGAAGACGGCGCGGCGGCAGCUAAGGAAGGAGAAGACGACGGCGCCUUCUCAAUUCUCUCUCCUCGAACCACCUCCUUCUCCCUACCAAACUCCAGACGCUAAAACUUCUUCAAUUAUCACAAAAAUGGCGGCUUCAUCCAAUUCUUCUCUAAUGUGGUUCCGAAAGGGAUUCUGAAUCCACGGUAACCCGACUCUUGAACAAGCUGCUACAGAAUCGAAUUUUGUGUACCCAAUUUUUGUGAUUGACCCGUAAUAUAUGGACCCUGACCCGAAUGCUUUCAGCGAGGAAGCUUGUUUAAUGGACGAUUGGCAAGCUUGCGAAGAUUGGGUUGACGAUCACGGAAAACCUAAUCUCGUGUUCAACUCUAAUCAAUUUGGAAAAUCACAAGUCCAGUUGGCAGGGCAGCACCCAAUCUGAUGAUCUCUGGUUUUGUCAUUUUAUUAUGGCCAUCUGAUCUUGGUGCUGCUAAUGAACUUCUUGGUGCCAACCAACUGCUGUCUCCACAAGCUCAUGUCACACCAGUUCAAUUUGCUGCUCUUUGUCUCUUGGGCCUAAGGCAAGCUAAGAAACUGACAUUUUUCAUGCAUUUUUAGAUUUUGAUGUAAAGUGUAAACACAAAAUUACUGAUAGCAUACACAGUUGGUUCAACGAGAACACUAAAUUUGUAAGAAUGAUUAUUUUUAUUGUGAUGAAGCCCACGAAGAUCAUAUCUUAUGUAAGCAGGGCAAUGCCUUGUAGUACAAGAGUGAUUGUAAAUGUUCAUUGCAAGGGUAUUAUUAUUCAGAGUAUUUGUAAAGCUACUAUGCAAAUUAAUCAGCUUUUUAUGGAAUAUAAUCCCUGUUUAUUGCUGGAAA